RNAcentral lists this ribosomal RNA (526 nucleotides) under uncultured bacterium. RNAcentral describes it as "bacterial SSU rRNA". It matches the Rfam family "Bacterial small subunit ribosomal RNA", at positions 355 to 896 of the family's 1533-position model. The record is from RNAcentral.
UAGGGAAUAUUGCACAAUGGACGAAAGUCUGAUGCAGCAACGCCGCGUGUGUGAUGAAGGCCCUCGGGUCGUAAAACACUUUUAUGAAGGAAGAGAAAGGACGGUACUUCAUGAAUAAGGAUCGGCUAACUACGUGCCAGCAGCCGCGGUAACACGUGGGAUCCAAGCGUUAUCCGGAUUUACUGGGCGUAAAGCGCGUGUAGGCGGUUUGAUAAGUUGGAUGUGAAAGCUCCGAGCUUAACUCGGAGAGGUCGUUCAAAACUAUCAAACUAGAGGACGGUAGAGGGAGGUGGAAUUCCGGGUGUAGUGGUGAAAUGCGUAGAUAUCCGGAGGAACACCAGUGGCGAAGGCGGCCUCCUGGCCCGUUCCUGACGCUCAGACGCGAAAGCUAGGGUAGCAAACGGGAUUAGAAACCCCGGUAGUCCUAGCCGUAAACGAUGUGAACUUGGUGUUGGAGGUGUUAAAACCUGCAGUGCCGCAGCUAACGCGAUAAGUUCACCGCCUGGGGACUACGAUCGCAAGGUUA